CACCAUGUCAUUGUUAAGCCUGUGGAUCACAUGGUUACCAUGACUCCAGAGUUCACCUAUCAGGUGGAAGUUUUAACUCAACACAGGGCCCCAGCUCAGCCUUUAAUAUCCCCUGAGCAGUUUAAACAUUUGAAAGACCAGCAAAAGAUUAUCAUUCAGCAGCUAAAUACCCCUGGAAAUGAUGAACUUCCGCCAAAUCUAUCAAGAGCCCAUGACUCCAUCUCCAACUCAGCUCUCCUCAGACAUGAACGGGAAAGGCCACAUUCUAUGGAACAGUAAAGAGAGUCAUGCUUAUCCAACGAGUGUAUAAAAGGCCCAAGAAGACAAGGUUCAGAGAGCUUCCGGAUAGCUGAACGCAUGGAGGCUGACAGGACAGUGAAGGAGAACUCAUCCACGCGCUGGGCGAGUGGUGCACCCCAACUCCACAGGAACGGAAGCUCCUCCAGAUCUUGCCUUGUGUUAUCUUUCCAUCUGGCUAUUUAUUUGCAUCCUUUUUAAAUGUAAGUAAGUGCUUCCAUGAGUUCCGUGAGC
RNAcentral lists this long non-coding RNA (531 nucleotides) under Homo sapiens (human). RNAcentral's name for it is "HSALNT0239832". The record is from RNAcentral. Lineage: Eukaryota; Metazoa; Chordata; Mammalia; Primates; Hominidae.